AGAGCUUGCUCUCUGAUUCAGCGGCGGACGGGUGAGUAAUGCCUAGGAAUCUGCCUGGUGUGGGGGACAACGUUUUCAAAGGAACGCUAAUACCGCAUACGUGCUACGGGAGAAAGCAGGGGACCUUCGGGCCUUGCGCUAUCAGAUGAGCCUAGGUCGGAUUAGCUAGUUGGUGAGGUAAUGGCUCACCAAGGCGACGAUCCGUAACUGGUCUGAGAGGAUGAUCAGUCACACUGGAACUGAGACACGGUCCAGACUCCUACGGGAGGCAGCAGUGGGGAAUAUUGGACAAUGGGCGAAAGCCUGAUCCAGCCAUGCCGCGUGUGUGAAGAAGGUCUUCGGAUUGUAAAGCACUUUAAGUUGGGAGGAAGGGCAGUAAGUUAAUACCUUGUUGUUUUGACGUUACCGACAGAAUAAGCACCGGCUAAGUCUGUGCCAGCAGCCGCGGUAAUACAGAGGGUGCAAGCGUUAAUCGGAAUUACUGGGCGUAAAGCGCGCGUA
This 501-nucleotide ribosomal RNA is filed under the name Pseudomonas sp. DsA.N010. Its description in RNAcentral is "bacterial SSU rRNA". It matches the Rfam family "Bacterial small subunit ribosomal RNA", at positions 75 to 573 of the family's 1533-position model. The record is from RNAcentral. Lineage: Bacteria; Pseudomonadati; Pseudomonadota; Gammaproteobacteria; Pseudomonadales; Pseudomonadaceae.